Molecule: unclassified non-coding RNA, 400 nt
Filed under: uncultured fungus
Lineage: Eukaryota; Fungi
Description: sequence contains ITS1
Rfam family: 5.8S ribosomal RNA (bases 1-105)
Source: RNAcentral
GAAAUGCGAUACGUAAUGUGAAUUGCAGAAUUCAGUGAAUCAUCGAAUCUUUGAACGCAUAUUGCGCUCUCUGGUAUUCCGGAGAGCAUGCUUGUUUGAGUAUCAGUAAACACCUCAAAUCCCAAGAUUUUUUUUCUUUGGGGUUUGGAUUUGAGUAAUCCUAACGAGAAGGCUUCUGGCCAACUUGGCAGGUCACUUGAAAUUCAGGUGCAGCUGAACAUUCUUCUGAGCUAAAAGCAUAUUUAUUUAGUCCUGUCGAUUCUUUUUCUAGAAUUUACGGAUUAUUACUUUUGCUGCAGCUAACAUAAAGGUUGAAUGAUCAAAUGCUGACUGAUGCAGGAAUUUAUCAGUUUUCGUUUUCGUAAACUGUUAAACUCGAUCUCAAAUCAAGUAAGACUAC